UACGUAGGGGGGCAAGCGUUGUCCGGAUUUAUUGGGCGUAAAGCGCUCGCAGGUGGUUCGUUGCGUCGUGCGUGAAAAGACCCCCGGCUCAACUGGGGGAGUGUCGUGCGAUACGGGGCGAACUGGAGGCCAGUAGGGGGGAUGCGGAAUUCCGGGGUGUAGUGGUGGAAUGCGUAGAGAUCCGGAGGAACACCAGCGGCGAAGGCGGCAUCCUGGACUGGUCCUGACAC
This 230-nucleotide ribosomal RNA is filed under the name uncultured bacterium. Its description in RNAcentral is "partial 16S ribosomal RNA". It matches the Rfam family "Bacterial small subunit ribosomal RNA", at positions 524 to 746 of the family's 1533-position model. The record is from RNAcentral.